GGAAAGUAGGAUGAGACUCUUAGUCCAACAAUUUGGUGACCCCGACGUGAUGAAGACGGAGAAGUGACGGAAUAAAGACAACUAUUCAGCGGAGGACGACAGUAUCGUGACAACACUUGGCCGGCCUGAGAAAAAGCUUUCUCCAAACAGGUGACAGCAGCUCGGGAGGGAGCAGAAGGAAAGGGGCACCCAACAUCAGAGUGGGUCCUGCUCAAGGUGAUUAAAAGAAAGUGGUCGGAGCAUAGGUGGACUGGCCCCUACAAAGUCGUGGAACGGACGUCCCACGCCGUCAAACUCUAGGGAAAAGGUGACACAUGGUAUCACUGGAGUCAGUGUGCAGUGGCAGAGACACCUGCCCGAACACUGGAAGACAUAAGAGACAAUAAAAAAAAAAAAAAA
Non-coding RNA from Epinephelus lanceolatus (giant grouper), 399 nucleotides. The record is from RefSeq and is a predicted model, not a curated record. Lineage: Eukaryota; Metazoa; Chordata; Actinopteri; Perciformes; Serranidae.